This 69-nucleotide transfer RNA is filed under the name Sphaerodactylus townsendi. RNAcentral's name for it is "tRNA-Asp". It matches the Rfam family "tRNA". From Rfam's summary of the family: Transfer RNA (tRNA) molecules are approximately 80 nucleotides in length. The record is from RNAcentral. Lineage: Eukaryota; Metazoa; Chordata; Lepidosauria; Squamata; Sphaerodactylidae.
GCUGUGGCUCAGGGGCGGAGCAUCUGCUUGUCACGCAGAAGGUCAUAGGUUCAAUACCUGGCAUCACCA